Molecule: unclassified non-coding RNA, 325 nt
Filed under: Hevea brasiliensis (rubber tree)
Lineage: Eukaryota; Viridiplantae; Streptophyta; Magnoliopsida; Malpighiales; Euphorbiaceae
Source: RNAcentral
AUAAAGGGUAUAUUAGUGGCCAUUUUGGUACGUGUUUAUGAUUAUAGUGACUAUAUCCACCCAAAAAUCAUUAUAGUUCUCUAUGCGUUCCAUGUCUACUUCUUACUUGAGCUCACUCUUGCCAUAAGUGCAGCCCUGGCUCGAACCAUGCUCGGCAUAGAGCUCGAACCACAGUUCAACGAACCCUACCUCUCCACUUCGCUUCAAGAUUUCUGGGGCAAGAGAUGGAACCUCAUGGUCACUCGCAUCCUACACCCUACCGUAUACGAACCCACACGCAACUUCUGUGCGCGUGUCAUUGGCAGAGAGUGGGCAACGCUCCCAG